UACGUAGGUGGCAAGCGUUGUCCGGAUUUACUGGGCGUAAAGAGCGCGCAGGCGGUCGUUCAAGUCGCGUGUGAAAGCCCCCCGGCUCAACUGGGGAGGGUCACGCGAUACUGAUCGACUGGAAGGCAGGAGAGGGUAGUGGAAUUCCCGGUGUAGUGGUGAAAUGCGUAGAUAUCGGGAGGAACACCAGUGGCGAAGGCGGAUUGCUGGGCCAUAACUGACACUGAGGAACGAAAGCUAGGGGAGCGAAUGGG
Molecule: ribosomal RNA, 254 nt
Filed under: uncultured bacterium
Lineage: Bacteria
Description: partial 16S ribosomal RNA
Rfam family: Bacterial small subunit ribosomal RNA
Source: RNAcentral